GCCUGGCUGGCUCAGUAGGAAGAGCACGUGACUCUUGAUCUCAGGAUUGUGAGUUUGAGCCCCAUGUUGGGUG
Molecule: transfer RNA, 73 nt
Filed under: Canis lupus familiaris (dog)
Lineage: Eukaryota; Metazoa; Chordata; Mammalia; Carnivora; Canidae
Also listed under: 3 other names
Rfam family: tRNA
About the family: Transfer RNA (tRNA) molecules are approximately 80 nucleotides in length. Their secondary structure includes four short double-helical elements and three loops (D, anti-codon, and T loops).
Source: Rfam by way of RNAcentral